UCUGUCUGUUUCUCUUCAGAUCGUAUAAAUCUUUUGCCUUUUACUAAAAAUUUUUGUAGAAAGGAACAAUUCGGAGUCUUAAACCAAUUUUUCGAGGCCUUGUCUUGACAAGGCU
This is a small nuclear RNA of Suncus etruscus (white-toothed pygmy shrew), 115 nucleotides long. RefSeq annotates it as U5 spliceosomal RNA. The transcript has a single exon. The record is from RefSeq and is a predicted model, not a curated record. Lineage: Eukaryota; Metazoa; Chordata; Mammalia; Eulipotyphla; Soricidae.